RNAcentral lists this ribosomal RNA (253 nucleotides) under uncultured bacterium. RNAcentral describes it as "partial 16S ribosomal RNA". It matches the Rfam family "Bacterial small subunit ribosomal RNA", at positions 524 to 776 of the family's 1533-position model. The record is from RNAcentral.
UACGUAGGGUGCAAGCGUUAAUCGGAAUUACUGGGCGUAAAGCGUGCGCAGGCGGUUCGCUAAGACCGAUGUGAAAUCCCCGGGCUUAACCUGGGAACUGCAUUGGUGACUGGCGGGCUAGAGUAUGGCAGAGGGGGGUAGAAUUCCACGUGUAGCAGUGAAAUGCGUAGAGAUGUGGAGGAAUACCGAUGGCGAAGGCAGCCUCCUGGGCCAACACUGACGCUCAUGCACGAAAGCGUGGGGAGCAAACAGG